This is a long non-coding RNA of Ruditapes philippinarum (Manila clam), 807 nucleotides long. RefSeq lists it as uncharacterized. The record is from RefSeq and is a predicted model, not a curated record. Lineage: Eukaryota; Metazoa; Mollusca; Bivalvia; Venerida; Veneridae. The transcript has 2 exons.
UUGGAUAAGAGGUUUAUCAAUUUAAUACAUUUUUGUUUAUAUUUCACUGUUCAUAAAUAGUUAUAUUUACCAUAAGCUGUUUUAUUUCUUAGGAUUGAAAGGCAAUAGCACUUGUCAAAAUUGUCAUGAAGAUUUUGUUAUUUCCAACUAGUCAUAUUUGGUACUCAUCAUUAUGCCAUGUACACAUUUGGAGAAAUUGUUAGAGUUAUAUUCAUUAUUGUUGAAAGGCAAUAGCACUUGGCAAAAUUGUCAUGAAGAUUUUGUUAUUUAAAACAGGUCUUAUUUUGAACUCAUCAUUAUGCCAUGUACACAUUUGGAGAAAUUGUUAGAGAGUUAUAUUCAUUAUUGUUGAAAGGCAAUAGCACUUGGCAAAAUUGUCAUGAAGAUUUUGUUAUUUAAAACAGGUCUUAUUUUGUACUCAUCAUUAUGCCAUGUACACAUUUGGAGAAAUUGUUAGAGAGUUAUAUUCAUUAUUGUCAUGAAGAUUUUGUUAUUUCCAAUUAGUCAUAUUUUGUAGUCAUCAUUAUGCCACAUACACAUUUGAAGUACUUAGUUAUAUGUGUUAUUGUUGUGAUUUAUUGAUAAUUAUUGUGAUAUUUUGAUUGUGUAAAUGGCAUCAUUAUUCAGUAAGAAUUAUGUUAAUGAUCUCAUUAUUCAGUAAGAAUUAUGUUAAUGAUCUCAUUAUUCAGUAAGAAUUAUGUUAAUGAUCUCAUUAUUUAGUAAGAAUUAUUUUGUAUUUAUUUAUUGAGUUUAUGUUGGAACUUGGCUUUCUACACAAACAGUGUAAUAAAAUUGAAGUUAAAGUUA